UACGUAGGGUGCGAGCGUUAAUCGGAAUUACUGGGCGUAAAGCGUGCGCAGGCGGUUUUGUAAGCCAGAUGUGAAAUCCCCGGGCUCAACCUGGGAAUGGCAUUUGGGACUGCAAGGCUUGAGUGCGGCAGAGGAGACUGGAAUUCCUGGUGUAGCAGUGAAAUGCGUAGAUAUCAGGAGGAAUACCGAUGGCGAAGGCAGGUCUCUGGGCUGACACUGACGCUCAUGCACGAAAGCGUGGGGAGCAAACAGGA
RNAcentral lists this ribosomal RNA (254 nucleotides) under uncultured prokaryote. RNAcentral's name for it is "partial 16S ribosomal RNA". It matches the Rfam family "Bacterial small subunit ribosomal RNA", at positions 524 to 777 of the family's 1533-position model. The record is from RNAcentral.